GAGUUUGAUCAUGGCUCAGAUUGAACGCUGGCGGCAGGCCUAACACAUGCAAGUCGAGCGGUAGAGAGAAGCUUGCUUCUCUUGAGAGCGGCGGACGGGUGAGUAAUGCCUAGGAAUCUGCCUGGUAGUGGGGGAUAACGCUCGGAAACGGACGCUAAUACCGCAUACGUCCUACGGGAGAAAGCAGGGGACCUUCGGGCCUUGCGCUAUCAGACGAGCCUAGGUCGGAUUAGCUAGUUGGUGAGGUAAUGGCUCACCAAGGCGACGAUCCGUAACUGGUCUGAGAGGAUGAUCAGUCACACUGGAACUGAGACACGGUCCAGACUCCUACGGAGGCAGCAGUGGGGAAUAUUGGACAAUGGGCGAAAGCCUGAUCCAGCCAUGCCGCGUGUGUGAAGAAGGUCUUCGGAUUGUAAAGCACUUUAAGUUGGGAGGAAGGGCAGUAAAUUAAUACUUUGCUGUUUGACGUUACCGACAGAAUAAGCACCGGCUAACUCUGU
RNAcentral lists this ribosomal RNA (500 nucleotides) under uncultured bacterium. RNAcentral describes it as "bacterial SSU rRNA". It matches the Rfam family "Bacterial small subunit ribosomal RNA", at positions 9 to 506 of the family's 1533-position model. The record is from RNAcentral.